UACGUAGGGUGCAAGCGUUGUCCGGAAUUAUUGGGCGUAAAGAGCUCGUAGGCGGUCUGUCGCGUCGGCUGUGAAAUCCCGAGGCUCAACCUCGGGUCUGCAGUCGAUACGGGCAAACUUGAGUGUUGCAGGGGAGACCGGAAUUCCUGGUGUAGCGGUGAAAUGCGCAGAUAUCAGGAGGAACACCGGUGGCGAAGGCGGGUCUCUGGGCAACAACUGACGCUGAGGAGCGAAAGCGUGGGGAGCGAACAGG
Molecule: ribosomal RNA, 253 nt
Filed under: uncultured bacterium
Lineage: Bacteria
Description: partial 16S ribosomal RNA
Rfam family: Bacterial small subunit ribosomal RNA
Source: RNAcentral